This 119-nucleotide ribosomal RNA is filed under the name Pteropus alecto (black flying fox). RNAcentral also lists the same sequence under 1 other name. Lineage: Eukaryota; Metazoa; Chordata; Mammalia; Chiroptera; Pteropodidae. The record is from RNAcentral.
GUUUACGGCCAUACCAUCCUGAACAUGCCUGAUCUCCUCUGAUCUCAGCAGCUAAGCAGGGUCAAGCCUGGUUAGUCCUUGGAUGGGAGACCACCUAGGAAUACCUGUAGGUGUAAAAA